UACGUAGGCAGCAAGCGUUGUCCGGAAUUAUUGGGCGUAAAGAGUUCGUAGGCGGUUACUUAAGUCUGGUGUUAAAGCCCGAUGCUCAACGUCGGCAUGGCAUUGGAAACUGGGUAGCUAGAGUGUGUCAGAGGUUACGGGAAUUCCUGGUGUAGCGGUGAAAUGCGUAGAUAUCAGGAGGAACACCUGUGGCGAAAGCGCGUAACUGGGGCAUAACUGACGCUGAGGAACGAAAGCCAGGGUAUCCAAAGGG
RNAcentral lists this ribosomal RNA (253 nucleotides) under uncultured bacterium. Its description in RNAcentral is "partial 16S ribosomal RNA". It matches the Rfam family "Bacterial small subunit ribosomal RNA", at positions 524 to 776 of the family's 1533-position model. The record is from RNAcentral.